Molecule: non-coding RNA, 94 nt
Filed under: Candidatus Regiella insecticola LSR1
Lineage: Bacteria; Pseudomonadati; Pseudomonadota; Gammaproteobacteria; Enterobacterales; Enterobacteriaceae
Description: sRNA-Xcc1
Rfam family: sRNA-Xcc1
Source: Rfam by way of RNAcentral
GGUCGGGUAGCGAGCAGUUAUACAAUACCUCUAUCCGAAGGGGGAAACCUGCUGGCCGUCUACUUGCGGUGUUCAAGUGCCCGAUCGCCCAUCU